GGGAGUGUAGCUCAGUGGCAUAGCAUGUAUCUUACAUGCACAAAGCCCUGGGUUUGAUCCCUAGUAUCACCA
Molecule: transfer RNA, 72 nt
Filed under: Heterocephalus glaber (naked mole-rat)
Lineage: Eukaryota; Metazoa; Chordata; Mammalia; Rodentia; Bathyergidae
Rfam family: tRNA
About the family: Transfer RNA (tRNA) molecules are approximately 80 nucleotides in length. Their secondary structure includes four short double-helical elements and three loops (D, anti-codon, and T loops).
Source: Rfam by way of RNAcentral